Molecule: ribosomal RNA, 253 nt
Filed under: uncultured bacterium
Lineage: Bacteria
Description: partial 16S ribosomal RNA
Rfam family: Bacterial small subunit ribosomal RNA
Source: RNAcentral
UACAGAGGUCUCAAGCGUUGUUCGGAUUCAUUGGGCGUAAAGGGUGCGUAGGCGGGCGCACAAGUCAGGGGUGAAAGCCCACGGCUCAACCGUGGAAGUGCCUUUGAUACUGUGUGUCUGGAGGGAGGUAGGGGCGUGCGGAACUUCCGGUGGAGCGGUGAAAUGCGUAGAUAUCGGAAGGAACACCGGUGGCGAAAGCGGCGCGCUGGACCUCUUCUGACGCUGAGGCGCGAAAGCCAGGGGAGCAAACGGG